RNAcentral lists this unclassified non-coding RNA (1631 nucleotides) under Leishmania donovani. RNAcentral describes it as "gene:unknown". Lineage: Eukaryota; Euglenozoa; Kinetoplastea; Trypanosomatida; Trypanosomatidae. The record is from RNAcentral.
GUACGCGCGCGCAUACCUGACGUACGUCUGCCGUACACACAUACGCACCCACUCUUUCUUCUCACUUCUCUCUCCUCCUACCCAUUCCCUGGCACUACCAUCCAAAGUCUGUGUUCUGACUCGACCCGACUCACAGACGCGGACGGAGCAAUAGGCAGAGCGUACAGACGCGAAAGAAGAAGGAAGAAAAUCGAUUCGACGUCAACUCUACAGCCAAUCCGCAUCUGCGUUUCUGCCUUUUUCCUCUUCCCUCUAUACACUGGGGAGGAAAGAAAGAGGCCAGGCGCGUCAAAGUCGAUUGUUCUCAUCCAUCUUGUGUACCUCUUUCUUCCUCCUCUCGGCAGCUCGUUGGUUUCCAUUCAUCUCCUUUCUCAAUCCGCUUGUGUACGCGUCUGUGUCACCAUUGUGGUUGCAAGCCGCCAUCUGAUUCGUCCUCGUUUCCCUUCACAGGCACACACACACAUACAAGUCUCGCUGCUUUCACCAUUGUCCCUUUUCUCCCUCUCGUACCACCUCUAUCACCAACACACUCUCUCCUCUUUGUGUGCCACGUGGCUGGAGGCUUUUAUUAUCUUGCCCCUCCCCCUAUUCAUCUCCCUCGACAGUUAUCUGCUGCGCAUGUAUCUGUGAAUGUGUUGCGCGCGACUGUGAGACUCUGUGUUGAACCCCUUUCCUUGCCCUCCCUCCUCUUUCUCUCUCUGACACUUCUCUCUCCGCCGCUUUUGCCUUUGCUUCUCUCUAUGUUUCUGCUUCCUCCCCACAUCCCCGUUCUUUCCCUCGCUUCUUUCCGUCUGCGCUCCCUCUCCUGAUGAGUCGCUCACGCGACUGUCCCGCACGUCUCCUUCUCUCUGUAGUUCUUCUAGUGGUUCUCCCCCUCACACGCAAAACGCCCACGUCGGUUUCUCCGCCCUGUGGUCUUUGGCGUGCUGUGUCUCGUCUCGCUAUUUUCUCCCCGUUGUCUCCCUCUUCCUUUCGUCGUCGUCUUUUCCUUUUAGUUCUAGCCUGUGCGUGUUUUAUGCAAACACACACACGCGCACGCACUGUUUCGCUUUUCUUUCCGUCUCUCCUCGCUUGCCUUCUCUUUUACCUCUCCCUUCCCUCAACCGCCCUCUUCUCUCCUCCUUCUGCUCUUGCUCCUCCCUCUCACGCACGCUUGUGCGUUUUCCUCUCCUUGGGCGUCGUGUGUGUUGCGCUCUCCUUGUGCCGUUGUUGUUGCUGCGUCUGUCUGUGUUCGCGUCGCGGGCGCGAUUCUCUGCUGUCCUUCUCCUCCUCCGCAGCACUUUUCUGGGUCUUGGGGCGACUGCUAUUCCGGUCACUUUUGCCGUCGCAGCAGUACUCGUGGCGCUGCUGCGUCUGUGCGCCACCUGUACCCAGGGGAAAGCAGCGGCAUCAGCUGUGGCCUCAUUCGACGCGUCGUCGGUGGGGCGGAUUCGUGUGCGUCUCUCUGUCUUCUCUCCGUUUCCUUCGUGUCCUGUGUGCGUGCGCGACUGUGGCCCUCUUUCGCACCCUCGCCAAGAGCGACACGCAUCCAGACCGCCGCCUCCUCUGUAGCCGUACCGAGGGAUUCCUGAAGUACUUGUCUCUUUUGCCACUUUCCCCAUCUUUCUUGCCUUUUUGUACGGUUUUCUCAG